UACGGAGGGUCCAAGCGUUAUCCGGAAUCAUUGGGUUUAAAGGGUCCGUAGGCGGUUUUGUAAGUCAGUGGUGAAAGCCCAUCGCUCAACGGUGGAACGGCCAUUGAUACUGCAAGACUUGAAUUAUUGGGAAGUAACUAGAAUAUGUAGUGUAGCGGUGAAAUGCUUAGAGAUUACACGGAAUACCAAUUGCGAAGGCAGGUUACUACCAAUAGAUUGACGCUGAUGGACGAAAGCGUGGGGAGCGAACAGG
Molecule: ribosomal RNA, 253 nt
Filed under: uncultured bacterium
Lineage: Bacteria
Description: partial 16S ribosomal RNA
Rfam family: Bacterial small subunit ribosomal RNA
Source: RNAcentral